CCCUUAGAUGUCCUGGGCCGCACGCGCGUUACACUGAUGCAUUCAACGAGCUUAUAACCUUGGCCGAGAGGCCUGGGCAAUCUUUUGAACCUGCAUCGUGAUAGGGAUAGAUUAUUGCAAUUAUUAAUCUUGAACGAGGAAUUCCUAGUAAACGCAGAUCAUCAAUCUGCAUUGAUUACGUCCCUGCCCUUUGUACACACCGCCCGUCGCACCUACCGAUUGAAUGGUCCGGUGAAGCCUCGGGAUUGUGGCGAGUUCCCUUUAUUGGGAGUUUGUCGCGAGAACUUGUCUAAACCUUAUCAUUUAGAGGAAGGUGAAGUCGUAACA
Molecule: ribosomal RNA, 327 nt
Filed under: uncultured eukaryote
Lineage: Eukaryota
Description: partial 18S ribosomal RNA
Rfam family: Eukaryotic small subunit ribosomal RNA
Source: RNAcentral